Molecule: unclassified non-coding RNA, 455 nt
Filed under: Astianthus viminalis
Lineage: Eukaryota; Viridiplantae; Streptophyta; Magnoliopsida; Lamiales; Bignoniaceae
Description: partial contains external transcribed spacer and 18S ribosomal RNA; ETS
Source: RNAcentral
AUUGGCGUGUACGGGCAUGUCGGAUCCCUGCAUGGGCAGCGACGGCGUGGCCUUCUCGCCUCUUCAGUUGGUGGCCCAAGUGCGUCGUAGCCUUGGCCGUUCUCGGUUUCCUGCGUUGCAUACCUGUCAAGAGGGCAUUCAGUCGGCUAAAACGUCCCAUUUCCGCCUUGCUCCGUGCCUCUUGGGCUGCGGUGCGGGGUGGACCUCGAAGCACCCGCCGUGUUCCACUUCCCGUGCGUUAACAACGCCUUCGGGUUGUCGGCCCACGGUUUGUUGCUCGAUCUCUCGGAUGCGGAAAAUUUAGCGGGCACGAGGCCGCCGGUCUCUAUUUGCCCCGAAACAAAGCGUUCUACGCUUCGUUCGAACGACGACCGUUGCUGCUUUGGUCGAGUCCUCGGGCUGGGCUCAUGCGGCAUCGGCGUCGGCGAGGAAUGCUACCUGGUUGAUCCUGCCAG